UGGGUAACCUGCCUCAAAGAGGGGAAUAGCCUCCCGAAAGGGAGAUUAAUACCGCAUAAUAUGUUUAGGUCGCAUGACUUUAACAUCAAAGGAUUUUUCUUUUAGAAAUUCCACUUUGAGAUGGACCCGCGGCGCAUUAGCUAGUUGGUGAGGUAACGGCUCACCAAGGCAACGAUGCGUAGCCGACCUGAGAGGGUGAUCGGCCACAUUGGAACUGAGACACGGUCCAGACUCCGUAGGAGG
Molecule: ribosomal RNA, 243 nt
Filed under: uncultured bacterium
Lineage: Bacteria
Description: partial 16S ribosomal RNA
Rfam family: Bacterial small subunit ribosomal RNA
Source: RNAcentral